This 406-nucleotide long non-coding RNA is filed under the name Pongo abelii (Sumatran orangutan). Its description in RNAcentral is "lincRNA". The record is from RNAcentral. Lineage: Eukaryota; Metazoa; Chordata; Mammalia; Primates; Hominidae.
ACUCCAAAUUAAUAUAGUGUUUAUAGCCACUUACAUAAUAAUGAGGGUGUUGCUACGCUUUCCUCUGUACAAGCUGGUGGUGUAUCAAUUCGUUCUUCCUUAACUUUGGGACUUUCACAGGGUUCCUGCAAUUCGUUUUUGACAAUGUUCAACAUAAUAUUCAAGGGGUUUUCAACUGGUGUCUUGCUGGGAGAUGGUGUACAAUCAAAUGAAGAUGUCUACAAAAUGAAAGGCCCUAUGAGUACUGAUGAAAGUUCAAAAUUCUCACAUUAAAUAAUAUUUAGUUUUGUAAGACCCUUGUAUGGACAAGAGAACACACAUACAACCAAAUGCAAAUGAAACACCUGCCUCCCAACAAAAUGUGCCAUAAAGACAACCAAAAAUAAAAUAUAUAUUGCACGUUCAA